This 301-nucleotide ribosomal RNA is filed under the name uncultured bacterium. Its description in RNAcentral is "partial 16S ribosomal RNA". It matches the Rfam family "Bacterial small subunit ribosomal RNA", at positions 509 to 807 of the family's 1533-position model. The record is from RNAcentral.
CAGCAGCCACGGUAAUACGUAGGGUGCGAGCGUUAAUCGGAAUUACUGGGCGUAAAGCGUGCGCAGGCGGUUCGUUAAGACAGAUGUGAAAUCCCCGGGCUUAACCUGGGAACUGCAUUUGUGACUGGCGAGCUAGAGUAUGGCAGAGGGGGGUAGAAUUCCACGUGUAGCAGUGAAAUGCGUAGAGAUGUGGAGGAACACCGAUGGCGAAGGCAGCCCCCUGGGCCAAUACUGACGCUCAUGCACGAAAGCGUGGGGAGCAAACAGGAUUAGAUACCCCUGUAGUCCCUGUCUCUUAUAC